GCCCUUCAGAGGGGGACAACAGUUGGAAACGACUGCUAAUACCGCAUACGAUCCAAUCUCGGCAUCGAGAAUGGAUGAAAGGUGGCCUCUAUUUAUAAGCUAUCACUGAAGGAGGGGAUUGCGUCUGAUUAGCUAGUUGGAGGGGUAACGGCCCACCAAGGCGAUGAUCAGUAGCCGGUCUGAGAGGAUGAACGGCCACAUUGGGACUGAGACACGGCCCAGACUCCUACGGGAGGCAGCAUG
Molecule: ribosomal RNA, 243 nt
Filed under: uncultured bacterium
Lineage: Bacteria
Description: partial 16S ribosomal RNA
Rfam family: Bacterial small subunit ribosomal RNA
Source: RNAcentral